RNAcentral lists this ribosomal RNA (496 nucleotides) under uncultured bacterium. Its description in RNAcentral is "partial 16S ribosomal RNA". It matches the Rfam family "Bacterial small subunit ribosomal RNA", at positions 28 to 506 of the family's 1533-position model. The record is from RNAcentral.
GAUGAACGCUGGCGGCGUGCCUAAUACAUGCAAGUCGAGCGAACAGACGAGGAGCUUGCUCCUCUGACGUUAGCGGCGGACGGGUGAGUAACACGUGGAUAACCUACCUAUAAGACUGGGAUAACUUCGGGAAACCGGAGCUAAUACCGGAUAAUAUAUUGAACCGCAUGGUUCAAUAGUGAAAGACGGUUUUGCUGUCACUUAUAGAUGGAUCCGCGCCGCAUUAGCUAGUUGGUAAGGUAACGGCUUACCAAGGCAACGAUGCGUAGCCGACCUGAGAGGGUGAUCGGCCACACUGGAACUGAGACACGGUCCAGACUCCUACGGGAGGCAGCAGUAGGGAAUCUUCCGCAAUGGGCGAAAGCCUGACGGAGCAACGCCGCGUGAGUGAUGAAGGUCUUCGGAUCGUAAAACUCUGUUAUUAGGGAAGAACAAAUGUGUAAGUAACUAUGUACGUCUUGACGGUACCUAAUCAGAAAGCCACGGCGAACUACGU